GCCCGGGUAGCUCAAUGGCUAGAGCGUGGGACUUUUAAUCCCAAGGUUGGGGGUUCGAGACCCCCCUCGGGCG
This is a transfer RNA of Metarhizium anisopliae BRIP 53293, 73 nucleotides long. It matches the Rfam family "tRNA". From Rfam's summary of the family: Transfer RNA (tRNA) molecules are approximately 80 nucleotides in length. Their secondary structure includes four short double-helical elements and three loops (D, anti-codon, and T loops). The record is from Rfam. Lineage: Eukaryota; Fungi; Ascomycota; Sordariomycetes; Hypocreales; Clavicipitaceae.